This 440-nucleotide long non-coding RNA is filed under the name Setaria viridis. Its description in RNAcentral is "long non-coding RNA (SVIR_LNC009249)". The record is from RNAcentral. Lineage: Eukaryota; Viridiplantae; Streptophyta; Magnoliopsida; Poales; Poaceae.
ACCAAUCAUGUCGAGCCCCUAGCAUGCGAAAGGCCAUGUUGGAGGUAUGGUGAUGAGUUUGUAGGCAGGGACAUGUUGUUGCUUGGCAAAAAACUGGCAGCCUUGACCUCUGUGGACUAGUUCCACUGCAUCUGCCAGCACAGUUGGCCAUUAAAAUCCUGCUCUGAAAGCUUUGCCUACUAUUGUUCUUGAGGAUGCAUGAUUCCCGCAGAUUCCUUUAUGUAUUUCCUCCAAGAUGUCCUUGCCGUCUUUGCAAGUGACACACUUCAUGAGUACUCCCGAUGACGCUCCUCUUCUGUAGAGUUUGUCUCCGACUAGAAUGUAGCUUUUUCCUUGUCAUGAGACUUGUUUUGCCUGCGUCUUGUCAGAAGGUAGCUUGUGUUCUUUAAUGUGGUUGAUAAAAGGAGUCCUCCAGUCUACCUCGAUCAUCAUGAUUUCCC